Zootermopsis nevadensis is the source of this 11745-nucleotide non-coding RNA. NCBI's taxonomy places the organism in Eukaryota, Metazoa, Arthropoda, Insecta, Blattodea, Termopsidae. The record is from RefSeq and is a predicted model, not a curated record.
UUCUUCUCUGAAUGUAUUCUGCGAUGGUACUGCACUACUAAUUUGUUUACUUUGGGCUGUCUGUUGAAAACUAUUAAAAUGCCUUCAAAAAUUACAAAGCUCCGAAGGAUGCACCUUCCAUCCUUUCAAAAGUGUGCUCAGUGUUUGAAGGUGUAUAUUUUUCUAGCAUUAAUAGGUGUAAUCAUGCAAUGUUCUAUACCAGUGAAUCAGUCACUUUGAGGAGCAUUCUGGGGGACAUCUGAGAUAAUGUCAAGUUGCAUCCUGGAACAUAAAAUGGAUUUGUGUUUGGCACGAGUUUAAUUUUUAUUUCAGGUUCGAAGUCAAGACACAACAAUGAUUUGUUGAAUGGGAAGAAUUUUUGGAACUGGAUGUUGUCUAAGCGUCUGUAAAAUUUAGAAGAACAUUCAGUAAUUGUAAUGGACAAUGUUCUUUAUCAUUAUGUUGUUCUGGAGGAACCUCCAACACAUAGCUGGAGAGACGAUGAAAUAACUACUUGGCUGCAAGAGAAGAUAAUUUCGUUUGGAAAAAGAGCUCUCGAAGCUGAAUUACUUAAUCUCACACUGUCAACAUAUCCUCAAGUAAGAGCAGGUUGGGAGGAUAGGACGUGGUUGUGGAGUACAUGGGGAAAAGAGGGAAGCGUGCAAGAAUAAUUUUACUGUGAUAUAUGUCAGCGAAAGAUUCUUUAUAGUCUCAGAGUGACACUUGUGCCUGAUGGAAAUUUACCAUCUCUGUCUGUUUAACUUGUAACCUGUAUGUGCAUUGAAACACAGGCUACAAGUCGGAAUAGACGAAGAAAACAAUGCUGUGUUUAUGACAAUUGUACUGCCCUAAAUUCAUCUUCCAUUGCUAUAAAUUUAUUAUUUGUUAAAUUAUUUAUGUAUGUAAUACGUUAAAUAGUUGUAACUGAAAGGGGAGGAAUACAAUUUAUAUAUUGUAUCACCUUUCAAAUUAAAAUAAAUUAAUUGUUGGGUUUAAUUAUGAGUUGCGAUCCACCAGCCACGAAAUGGGCAUGUGAAUAUUGCACCUUUGAGAACUGGCCAUCAUCUCUAAAGUGCACAAUGUGUCGAGGUUCAAAACCAUUACUUGGUGAAGAUAUCUAUAGAUUAUGUGAUGAAUCACCUCCUCUGUCACUGAUUGCGGGUUCUGGUGGACCUAAUUUGGCAUCAGGUCCCUCUCAAGAAGAUACUUCAAGGUCAGGAAGUAAUGGAAAAUGGAAAUGUCGAGCAUGCACAUACCUGAACUGGCCACGUGCAUCACAGUGCACAGAAUGUCAAACGCCAAAACCUGCUACUGUUACUGGUACAAAUCUCCAUGAACAUCUACAGCCGCUUCGGAUUGGUCAGCUGAGUGAUACUGAAACGCUAACAACAGCUUCAGGUGGUCCAUUGCACAUCACUACAUCACCAUCUGCAGAUAAAAACAAUUUGAAAGAUGCUGAGAAUGAUCUGAGGGGACGUAUAGUAGAGAAAGCUGUCAUUGCGAGACAGCAGACUAUAAAAUGGAUGUGCACUGUGUGCACAUAUGAGAACUGGCCAAAAGCCACCAAGUGUAUAAUGUGUAGUACUCUUUGUGCAAACAUCAAUGCAGCAGCUUCCACUGCAAAGAACAAUGCAGCUUCUUUUUUUCGUGGCCAGGCAGUUAGCAGUGGCAGCAUACUUCCCUCCCCUGAACGAGAGAUGUCACUCCUGAAUAGUGCUCGAGGUGGUGGGAGCCAAGUGGCUCUCAUCGAUGACAGUUCUGCUGUAAAGAGCUGGCCAAAUUCACGACGCUUAGAGCGAAACCAGGCAUCAAGUGACAUGCCUACUCCAGCCAAUUCUCCCAACAAUUGUGAAUAUGAGCGACGUCUGAAGCAGAUCAGGCAACGGAUGCGUGAAGCUGAUUGGAACUGGCUAAAUGCUUGUCUGGGUGUUGUGGAUGGUGAUCCUAAUCCUGUGGAGGCAUACCUAUCAUCAGGUGGUGAUCCAGCUCGGCAGCUCACUCCUAAUGAAGUCACACUUCUUAACCGCCCAUCUGCAUUUGACUCUGGCCACACACUGGUCCAUUUGGCUAUUAGGUUCCAUCGUGAGGAUAUGCUGGCGACUUUGUUGUCACAGAUUGAAGGUUCUGGUUCAGGUGUGAAGAGGGUUCCUUCAUAUGUAGCUCCAGACCUAGCAGCAGACAUCCGGCGGCACAUGGCAUCAACUCUACGGCAACGCAAAGGCUCCUUCCCCUGCCACUUCGUUACUGAGCUCACAACAUUUGCUUUGCCUGCAGAAGUGGAGGACCUGCCACCUCCAGUGCAGGAGCAGUUAUUUGAAGAGCUAUUGGACAAAGAUGCUCAGCAGCAGCUAGAGUCAGAGCCGCCAGUGCUAAACUGGUCACUGGAGGUGACAGUACGACUUGGCUCCAGACUCUAUGCAUUAUGGAACCGGUCAGCUGGUGAUUGUCUACUGGACUCGGCCAUGCAAGCGACCUGGGGAGUGUUUGACCGUGACAAUACACUGAGGAGGGCUCUUGCCGAAAGCUUACAUCAAGGUGGACACGUGUUUUAUCCUCGCUGGAAGGAGUAUGAGGCCAGUCAAGCUCAGUUGCUUGAAUUCAGUCUUGAGGAGGGACAGUGGGAGGAGGACUGGGCUGGACUUCUGUCUCUUGCCAGUCAGCCAGGUUCCAGUCUGGAACAGCUUCAUGUGUUUGCCCUUGCACACAUUCUGCGUCGACCCAUUAUAGUUUAUGGGGUCAAGUAUGUGAAGAGCUUCCGUGGAGAGGCUAUAGGCUAUGCCAGAUUUGAAGGUGUUUAUUUGCCAUUACUCUGGGAGCAAAGUUUCUGUGUACGGUCACCCCUGGCACUAGGUUAUACCCGAGGCCAUUUCUCUGCUCUGGUUCCUAUGGAACCAUACAGUAGGUUGGAGGGAAGCAGUUCAGGUGGAGCAAACAAUUUGGGUCCAGAUGAGCUCCAGGUCACAUUCUUGCCACUCAUGGACCGAGAUCGCAAACUUCUGCCUGUACACUUCCUCAUGCAAGCUGAGCUGGGAAGGGAAGAAAGUAUUCUCCGGCAAUGGCUAGACGUUUGUGUUACUGAGGGAGGUGUCCUGGUAGCACAACAGAGACUUCACAAACGGCCACUCCUUGUUGCUCAGAUGGUCGAAGAGUGGUUAAACCACUAUCGUAGGCUUGCGCAGAUGACAAAUGCCCCAUUUACCCGCCCAGUACCAGUCCAGGAUUAUUCCAGUGAUGGGGGAGACACGGACGAUGAAUAGCAAAUUCUACAAUCUUCCUUAUCACCCGAGAAUACAAGAAACAAAUCUAAUUCUGAGGAGAAGAAAAUUUCAGAACCCUUUUCACCACUUCACCUGUGUUUGCCAUAAAAGUAGAAGUAUACCAUCAUUGAAGGUUUGUUACAAUUUUACAGUAAAGUAUGAAAAAAGUUUUUGUGUCUAAACAGUGAAAUUCUUAUUUUUUAUUCCUUUUAAUGUCUGCAAUUUGACCUGUGACGAACAGAUUUAUUUCUGAUAUUUCAACAUAUAAUUGAUUUUUAGUUAAGUGUUUAAAAAAUAUAACAAUUGUUAGUAGGGUUGCCAACUUGUUUUAAGUGGAAGAAAUUAAUCAAUCUUGUCCUUGGUAUUAUGGAAUAUUGGUGUCAGUUUAUAAUAUAAAUGUUCACAAUUUGAUAAUUAUGUUUAUUAUGUAAUUUAAAUACCAAGCUUUUCAUUACAGUGCAACUUUUCCUUCUACCAUUUUGAAAACAUUACUAGGCUUUAGUUGUUUGCUUUAAAUCUUUGUAGUCUUACCAAUGGAAGUAAUCCUGCAUAGAGUAGAACAAUUUAGAAUUUGUCCAGGAGUUAAACUUCAUUUAAAAUUAAAUAUUAAUAUGCUGUAGAGAGGUUGAAAAAUAUUGCCUACCAACACAAACAGAUAAUUGAUAUUGUUUUAAAGUGAUAUGUGGGUAGGAGUACUGUGUAUAUCAAAAAAGAAAAAGUAUAUUUUCAGUUUGCUAUCUGUAAAGUUAUUCUGAUUACCUUACUAUAGCUUGUUGCAUAAAGUAGUCACAUUGAACCAUCAGUUUAAUUUCUUGUCAUUUAAUUUAAUUGCAGUAUUCCCUGACAGUGCAACUGUUAAUUUAAAUGUACUCAAAGUUUUGUGUUCAUUAUGUUAGGAUCAGUAGCAGCUACUGUUCACUGUUUUCUGUUUCAUUUUUAAUAACAUUGGGUUACUGUAAGGAUGAAUUCAAAUAUGUGGCAUAAUUAGAGCCUUUUUUCUAAUCCUUAUUCUGCUUCAACUUUCUUGGAUUAGAUCCUUUGAUAUUAUUUUCAUGCAGGUACUAAAUUUGAUUAUUUUGUUUGUCCUCUUUUAUGAAUUUGUAGUGUACACUAUUGAGAAUUCUGUUUGAUAUUGUUAGGUCUUGAUGAUAGAUGUUAUUAAAGGACAUGUGCAGUUUGUUGCUGGUGCUAUGGAAUUUCCUUGCAAAGAGGCAGUUAAUUUGCCACUUAGAUCAGAGUGCUGUCUGUUCUGUAUAGUGAUAGGUUUACGUAAUAGUUGGGCACUAUUUUUCAUCCACUCAUAUUCGGCAUUACUCAUAAACAGUUGUACUUCAUAGCCAACAAAUUUUCUAGGAGUAUGUGACUUACAUAUAAGAUGGAAAAAUCUGAAUUAUCUCCUGUUUAAAUCUUAUGAAAAUUUGAGGGUAGUUGGCAACCCUGUUUUAGGUUGACUACAAAGAAAUGUCCUGGAGGAAAACAUCAACACGAAAAUAAGGCAAGAAGGGAUAGUCACUGGAGAAUAGGCUAUUGCUGCAGUUGAUUGCAGUGUGUUGCAGUUCUGCUUGUGAUGUGAUAUGUACUGAAAUUAAGAUAAUUUGAUCAUUUGAUCCCUGCAUUCUCAGCAUGAGUGUGUGACACUUUGUUCCAACCAAAGACAGCUGUUCUGUUGAGUAAACGUGGACUUUUCCUAAACUUAGAUGAAUUGGUUGUAAAGUUCUGUGAUUCUUUUCUGGAAAUAUCUGUGUUAUUUUCCAACGUGUUUUGGUAGAUUACUUUAACAUGGGUACAACUGCUUUUUGCUAAGUCCGUUUAUACUUAGUUUUAUACCUUACAGCACUUUCACAAAUCUUCCAGCAAAACCAAAGAAUGUUUAAUAGGGUAACUACAUAUCAUAUGGUAAGCUAGUACAGUUCUGAGCUUGUGUUAAGUGUCCCUGUAAGUUUUUGAGAUGAAAAGUUGUCACAGAUAUUAAAUUAUAGAAACUGUGUCAUUAUGGUGGUGCUUAUUAGAAGAAUUAAAUUUGAGUGUCUGAAAAUUUAAAAAUUUGAAGUUUUGAAAGUAUGUGUUCAAUAUUUAGAUAAUUAAAAGUCACUUUUCAUUUCUGGCUCCAGUAAAUUAGGUGAAAGUACACACAAAGACUGAAUUUAGAAUUAUGCACAUGGAAUAAUUUGUUAUCCAUAUCUGUCUUAACAAAGAUCAAAGUCCAUCUCUUCAUUUCUAUAGGGCUCAGCAAUUGACUCCAUCAGUGGAAAAUUAAAAUAUUUAUACACUGAUGUGGAAUGAAAAAUGUCAAAAGUUAUUAGUUUUAAAGUGUUAGUAUCUCCAGUUGUAAAAUAUGUGCAAUAUAACAUAAACUACAAUUAUGGAUCAACAUAAAUUAAGCUUGAGAACCACUUCUUUCUUAACUUUAUAUUGUUGGUUACGUUGUACUGGACAAUUUCUGUCUCUAAACUUUUUGUGAUACAUAAGUAGUUGUUUUCCAAGAAAAUGAUUACAGUUUCUCUUCAUAUCUGGAAUUUAUUUUUAUAUUACUUACCCGUUGUCUGCUCCCAGCAGUGCUGCAAUGAAAUCUGUUCACAAGACAGCAGCCUUGAAUAAGUUUUGUUUUUGACUUGGAAGUCUAGCACAUUGUAUAUGAUUUACGUAAGCACUAAAUUCACACAGCUGGUUCAUACCAUCAGACUGACUACCAUAUAUUGACCAGUAAUAUUUAAAUGACCUGAAGACAUGCCAGAGUGACUUUUAUGAAAAAGCCAAAGGAACUAUCUGAGCACCAAGUGUAAUCGGUCCCCAAUAGGUGUCAGAAGCUUACAGCAAGAAAAGAAAAGAUUUGCUUGCUGUAUAUGUAAACUGUAUAGAUCACAGAAAGUAGAAAAUGUACAUGUACAUUCUUACUCUUGGAGCGUUGUAAUGCUGAACAUACCAGUAUAUUCAUAAUUGUCAGAGGUUUAAUAAAACAUCAAGUAUAAUUGUUUUUAUAAUGCAUACUUACCUGCAUAUGAUAAUGUCCUCACUUCUUUUUCCAUUUUUUGAACACUUUUAUAUGUUUUCCAUUUCAUACUUUUUCCAGUUAGCAGGAAAAGAUAUGUUCUAUCCCACUUCCAGAGCACUCACUCUGAUACAUCAUCUCAUAGUCUCCUGUCUUUCAUUGCUGCUUGUGUUUCUUCAGAAAGGCUUGUGAUGAUAGUCUCGUAUAGGUUAGGUUCAAAGUUGGAAAUGGCCAGGGUACAUAGUUGAGCCACUCAUGCUUUAAGCUAUAGCAGGGACCAAGUGAUGUUAGUACAUGAUCAAACCAUGAUGGGACCAAGUUCUGCACUCUGUAAUAUUCCCUUUUAUAUACUUGUGUGAUAAUAUUAAGUUUAUUAUCAGGCAGAUAAAAAAGCAUAAAAUUUUCUUCUCUUGAGAAGCUGAGUUAUCCAGUGAAAGACUCUCACCAUGGAAAGAACUUAUCCAUGUGUUACUGGAAUGUUGGGUGAGGCUUCAGUUUCUCACAACAGGGAGUACAAAGAUGAAUGAUGAUGUCUUCUGGGAUGUUGUGCUAUGUAAUCUUAUAGAAACAGACUGAUGUUUUAGAGGUUCUUACUGCCCCAGUCACUGCAGGUGGUAAGCACCUUUGAAAUUCCAAUUUCUAUGAGGCUGCACAGAAGACAUUCAUGUUUGUACUGGAAUAUUGUUUGUACACAUGGUUUGACUAACUUUAGCUUUUAAUCUUUGUUUCAUUUUUAGUUUCUUCAUUGUGACAGAAUUUUAUCAGAUUGUUCCUGUGUUUUUGAUCUUACAAUGCUAAAAAUGGAGAACAAUUUCAGAAUUUGAUAUUUGUGAAGAGCACUGCAGGCCUUCAUAAUUGAAGAUAUAAUUUUGAGGAAAUUUAUGUAAUUUUUUUAAGGGUACUGAGCUGAAAGAACUGUAAGUAUCGAUCAGAUUGAUGUAAUGUCUACUACAAACAGAAAUGACACUUGUGGACAAUGAGAUUGAACUUUUCUGCAUAGUGUGAAGUGAAAAGGAGCAGUCAUUUGUAGUGUACAUAUUGAGAAUAAUUCAUUAUGAUAAACAGAUGAACAUGAGAAAAAACUGUAUGAUAGUAUCAAUAUGAAAUUCUUUUUAUCCUCUGAUACAAAUAUUAACAUAUGUUUUAUCUUGUUUCCAAUUUUUUGUGUGAUUAUCAUGUUCUCUGUAUUGCAGGCUUGUAUUAUAAAUGCUGCUAAUAAUUUUGGAUUAAUUUUGGACAGUAACUUAACAAACAUUAUAAAUGACACAGAUGUAUAAUAUAAUAUUGUUAUGGGGAUUAAGUUAAUGAGGAUAAGAUACAUAGGAUUUGUAACAGUGGGAGAAAUCAGAAAUGCAUAUGCAUUUUGACUGGUAAACCUCAAGACGUAGUGCUUAGUCUGUCGUCAUGGUUGAAGUUAUGGUGUUGUUUUGAUGUUUCCCUUAUGCUGUAGGACUCAUAGGUCUGGAUCUUGGCCUAGCCUUCUGUUCUUUUAAAGUCUAAUUGAGAUGUGAAUGAAUGCCUAUUUUUCCAGUGUACACCUUACCACAGAAUAUAAUUUGCUCCUAUGGUAAGGUAUAUAUCAAACAAUGGGGUUUCAUAUCUCCAUUAAAAUUUUGGAACAAUCAUAGACGCCAGACUGGAGAACCACGGGCUUUUUCUCUUUUCCUCCACUAAUUCUACUUAACUGCCUUUCCCAUUGAACACUUGCUGAAUUCAUCCAUCCUUCUGAAACUUUUUCCUCUUUCACUGUCUUUAUAUUUUCCUUUCUCACUUCUGAGUCCCCACCUCUUUUCCUGAACUACAUGCUUGCUCCCCCAUGGAUUGACAACCUUUAUCCUUUUAUCACCUUUGUGUCCUACUUUCUAACUUAUUUUCCUUCUCUGUCUUCCUGAACCACACGCUUGCUCCCAGUUAGACAGCACAACCGUCUGCUUACAUAAUCACAUCACUCACUUCCCACAGAAUGCCUACUGCCAGAUCUUUACAGGGGCUCCCUAAUCCUUGCUGAAGACAGUAAUUGCUGUGUAUGCUAAAAUGUUCUACAAGUGAUACUGCUUAUCUUCAAAAACUGAAUUUAUGCUGAAUUCUUUUUCCUUCCAGUUUUACAAUUUAUUCUCAUAUUCAGUCUUGACACCUCUCAACUAGCAAGAGCUGGGACAGUGUAUGCUUUCCCUCUGUCUGUACCAUAAAUCUCAGGAUCUUUUCAAAUAUUUUGUUUUUAAUAUUAUUAUAAUUAAAAGGUGGAGAUGCAGGUUAGGAAACUGGGCUUGACUUGGAAUUAAGCGUACUUUCCGUCCAGUGAAAUUCUGUAUUCUGUCUGCGUUUGGGACAGCUUAUCUUCAUUUAAUUUAUGAAGCUGUCUUUAAAUGUUAUUACUAUUGAUCAUUGACUAUGUCUUCUGUUUGAGGAUUGAGCAUGUUUGGAUGUUCAGAUUUAUAGAUUAUCAAACAUCAUUUAAAACAGAUACUGUAUUUAUCUGCAAGAAAAUUGUCUUCUCAUGCUGUCCUCUCCCUCAAGUUUCUGAAUCAUCAAUCACUAUUUAAAGUGUUUAUUUUAUUUCUGAAAUAACCUACACAGUUCUGACUAUCUCACCUACUCAUGGUCUGAUUUUCUACCACUAUCUGUACUGAUAACUUAUGAAUCUUGUAUAUUUUAGUGACAAACAUAUGUCCUAGUGAAGAAUUUUGCUUUGUUCAACGUUAUGAGACAAUUUCAUAUUUUUCAGAUACUAAAUUUAAAAAAUCCCCAUCUUAUACUCAGGUAAAUAUUUUAUUAGAGCAGUGAUAAUCUGAACUAUGUGGACAGAACCUUUAUUAUAUUAUUAAUUUGUUCAGGUAAUUAAGAAUGAAAUUUAAUAAUAAAUUAAUGAGCUGUACAUGCGUGUUGUAUUUUUUCCAAUGUGUACACACAUAUUAUAAUGUAAUAUAGUGAAUAAGAAUCAAUAUAUUUGUAAUAUAAAGUUAAAAAUAACAGUUUUGUUUACAAGACAGAAUUAUGUUUGGAUAUUUCAAAUGCUUGGCAUAUGGAUAAUCAAGGCUCUACUAUAACUUGUAGUUAUUGCAUGUAAGCAGAAGUUUUGGAUAUUGCAGCUGUUGCUCCUGUGAUUGAAUCAAUAAAUCUGAAAAGCCAUAAUUUCUUUAGUAAAACUUGCCAGAAUGGCACUCGGGAUUAUCUCUGUGAAAAGCAUUGGAGUGUGAUUUUUUAUCUGUUGUAUGACAACAAUUAUUUUACAAUAUGUUGGUUUAAUAACUGUUAAUUUUGUUUAGCCCCAAGGUACUAUACAUAUACAACUGAGAAAAUCUGUCUCAGUUAUUUUAUUUGUCAGAGCAGACUAUAACUGUUUUCUCAGGCUUCUUUUGAACUGCAGAUAUCAAUCUUCUGUCAGAACUUAGAAUUCUGGGUGUAAUGAAUGUAGCUGGAAAGAUUUGUAGAACAUUUUAAGAGUUCUGGAACUUCCUUCUUCCAGAACAGAAUUCUUAUACCAUAUUUUUAGUUGUUUCAAGUGGAAAAUACUAGGUUAUUGUAUGGAUAAGGGAGGUAGCAAGUUUUUUUAUGUGGGUAGUUUUGAUGACUUUGGUAUGAUUUUAUAUGCAGUAAUGUUGAUUCAGCAUUUCUCAACUACCUUUGUAUAAGAUGCAUGAAUUUCUAUACAAAGAAAAGUAUUUUCAACUGAGAAAGGUAUUGACCAUUACAAAAUCUUUUAUCAUUUCAUUAUGUGGAGUAAAACAAAUACCUUAUAAGUAAACUAUGACUGCGUCAAUUGGAAAUGCUUAAUUUAAUUUUCUUUAAAUUGGUAUUAAGAAACCUUUAAUAAAAAACCUGGUGGGUUUGUAUCACAUUAUAAUUCAGAUUAUUAUAUUAAAUUAUUUUAAAUUACUUACUGUGUGUACUACAUGUUUUAUUGUAUAUAUGUUCUUAGGGAUUAGAACACAUACAACUUUGCUAUGUAGCAGAUAAUCACAAUGGUUUCUAAUUAAUGUUUUGGCGUCAGCCUGUAGAUGGCCACAAAUGACUGAAAUGUUGCUAUAAUGCAUACAUUAAGUGGAGAAUAAAUGCAUUUUUAAUGAUCUGUGUAAGCUUGUGUGACAGUAAUAUUAAGUUGAACAAACUACACCUUGAUGUGUAUCUACAGGCUAAUCUAGGUAUGGUGGUAAAGGGAAAAAUUGUCACAAUGUGUACCACCCCAUCAGUUAGAGUCAUUUACUAACUGAUAUGUCAUGUGUACUGCCACGGUGGUCUAGCUGCUUCCCCGGUUUCUCUGUGGCAUCCCAACAAUUACUUCACAUUCAUCAUCAUUUACAUACAGAAGAAGGCAAUGGCAAACCACUUCUGAAUCAUAUUUGCCGAGGAAACGGACCUGUCGUCAGACAGAACACUAAUAAUAAAUAAUGUCAUGUGUCCAUUUAAAAUUACAAAUUAAAAUUUCAAGUGAAACUUUUUUAUUUAAAAGUUAAAUAUUCUGCUAUCUCUACUAUCACUAUGGGCGAAUGGAAGUUCUGUUAUAUGUAUAUUUUGCCACAUUUAAAUUCCAGUAAAUCACCAAAAAUUUCUAGAACUUUUGAAAUGCUACACGUAACAUGACAGACAUUCAGACUUUCUGGGAGCAUAGUUUCACUGAGUGCUUGAUUCUGAUGUUUGUGUAGUUGUAAGAAUUGAAAAUUGUGUUGUUUUUGUCAAAUAGAUUAAAAAUACAUUAUUACAGUGGCUGUGGAAAAUGUAUCAGAUUGUUUCAUAGUUUUUUGACACCGCAUUAAAUCAUCGUGUAUAGAAGCAUGAAAUUUGAUAUUAUAAUUAAUAUAUUAUAAAUAUAUAUGAAUUUUGCAUCAUUUGGUUUUUUAGAAAUGCCCAUAUGAUAAUAACAUAAACCUUUAGUGUUUGAUUUGCAAAAAAUAAAGCAUAAUAGUGAGGAUUACACUGGUGGUGGGAUUUUGUGAACAUGGUGAUGAUCCUUUGGGCUCCAUAAAGAAAGUGGGCUAUUCUUUGACAAGCCGAGUAUACAGUCGAUUUUUCAAAGAAUUUCCUUCACUGUACAGUGAGUGAGUAAGGCUUAAAAGGUUGCAAGGUGUAGUUGUUACUAAAAAAAAGUAGGUAACUAUAUUUCUUCUCAGACUUUCUUGUUAUGUUGGUGUAUGCAUUGGUGAAGUAUGAGAAAUGCUGAAGCAAAGCUCCUUACUUGGCACGCAAGAGAACUUGUGGCUAGGUUAUAAAGAUAUAAUUGAAGUGUUAUUUAAUGUGUUUGAAGAAACAUGUACAAACUUUCUUGCAUGUGUUCGCUAUUCUGUUUAAAAUGCUGAAAUUCUUACAUUUUUGGAUUAUCAUACUUGAACUAAAAUUGUUUUUAUUUCAGGUAUGUUUUUUAAGAGCUGCCAGUAUUGAAAUUCAUAAAAAUUUACUGACUAAAUGAGAGUUUUUUAUGUAUGGUGUAGACAUAGUCACAAGUAGGCACAUUAUGCUUAAGUCCACUUUAAUAUAAAGAAAGUGUAAUGUUUGUUGUAUUAAUUAAAAACUGCAUCUUUUGUU